GGUUGUCCCGGUUUAAGCAUGUAGGCGGAGGUUCCAGGUAAAUCCGGUACCUUUUAACGCUGAGGUGUGAUGACGAGGCACUACGGUGCUGAAGUAACAAAUGCCCUGCUUCCAGGAAAAGCCUCUAAGCAUCAGGUAACACGAAAUCGUACCCCAAACCGACACAGGUGGUCAGGUAGAGAAUACCAAGGCGCUUGAGAGAACUCGGGUGAAGGAACUAGGCAAAAUGGUGCCGUAACUUCGGGAGAAGGCACGCUGAUAUGUAGGUGAAGCCCCUGCGGGUGGAGCUGAAAUCAGUCGAAGAUACCAGCUGGCUGCAACUGUUUAUUAAAAACACAGCACUGUGCAAACACGAAAGUGGACGUAUACGGUGUGACGCCUGCCCGGUGCCGGAAGGUUAAUUGAUGGGGUUAGCGGUAACGCGAAGCUCUUGAUCGAAGCCCCGGUAAACGGCGGCCGUAACUAUAACGGUCCUAAGGUAGCGAAAUUCCUUGUCGGGUAAGUUCCGACCUGCACGAAUGGCGUAAUGAUGGCCAGGCUGUCUCCACCCGAGACUCAGUGAAAUUGAACUCGCUGUGAAGAUGCAGUGUACCCGCGGCAAGACGGAAAGACCCCGUGAACCUUUACUAUAGCUUGACACUGAACACUGGUCCUUGAUGUGUAGGAUAGGUGGGAGGCUUUGAAGCGUGGACGCCAGUCUGCGUGGAGCCAACCUUGAAAUACCACCCUUUAAUGGCUGGUGUUCUAACGUAGACCCGUAAUCCGGGUUGCGGACAGUGUCUGGUGGGUAGUUUGACUGGGGCGGUCUCCUCCCAAAGAGUAACGGAGGAGCACGAAGGUUAGCUAAUCCUGGUCGGACAUCAGGAGGUUAGUGCAAUGGCAUAAGCUAGCUUGACUGCGAGAGUGACGGCUCGAGCAGGUGCGAAAGCAGGUCAUAGUGAUCCGGUGGUUCUGAAUGGAAGGGCCAUCGCUCAACGGAUAAAAGGUACUCCGGGGAUAACAGGCUGAUACCGCCCAAGAGUUCAUAUCGACGGCGGUGUUUGGCACCUCGAUGUCGGCUCAUCACAUCCUGGGGCUGAAGUAGGUCCCAAGGGUAUGGCUGUUCGCCAUUUAAAGUGGUACGCGAGCUGGGUUUAGAACGUCGUGAGACAGUUCGGUCCCUAUCUGCCGUGGGCGCUGGAGAAUUGAGGGGGGCUGCUCCUAGUACGAGAGGACCGGAGUGGACGCAUCACUGGUGUUCGGGUUGUCAUGCCAAUGGCACUGCCCGGUAGCUAAAUGCGGAAGAGAUAAGUGCUGAAAGCAUCUAAGCACGAAACUUGCCCCGAGAUGAGUUCUCCCUGAGACUUAAAGUCUCCUGAAGGAACGUUGAAGACGACGACGUUGAUAGGUCGGGUGUGUAAGCGCAGCGAUGCGUUGAGCUAACCGAUACUAAUGAACCGUGAGGCUUAACCUUACAACGCCGAAGGUGUUU
Molecule: ribosomal RNA, 1471 nt
Filed under: Mesorhizobium sp.
Lineage: Bacteria; Pseudomonadati; Pseudomonadota; Alphaproteobacteria; Hyphomicrobiales; Phyllobacteriaceae
Description: partial 23S ribosomal RNA
Rfam family: Bacterial large subunit ribosomal RNA
Source: RNAcentral